This 518-nucleotide ribosomal RNA is filed under the name uncultured Pseudomonadota bacterium. Its description in RNAcentral is "bacterial SSU rRNA". It matches the Rfam family "Bacterial small subunit ribosomal RNA", at positions 8 to 521 of the family's 1533-position model. The record is from RNAcentral. Lineage: Bacteria; Pseudomonadati; Pseudomonadota.
AGAGUUUGAUCCUGGCUCAGAUUGAACGCUGGCGGCAUGCCUUACACAUGCAAGUCGAACGGCAGCACGGACUUCGGUCUGGUGGCGAGUGGCGAACGGGUGAGUAAUACAUCGGAACGUACCCUGUUGUGGGGGAUAACUAGUCGAAAGAUUAGCUAAUACCGCAUACGACCUGAGGGUGAAAGUGGGGGACCGUAAGGCCUCACGCAGCAGGAGCGGCCGAUGUCUGAUUAGCUAGUUGGUGGGGUAAAGGCUCACCAAGGCGACGAUCAGUAGCUGGUCUGAGAGGACGAUCAGCCACACUGGGACUGAGACACGGCCCAGACUCCUACGGGAGGCAGCAGUGGGGAAUUUUGGACAAUGGGGGCAACCCUGAUCCAGCAAUGCCGCGUGUGUGAAGAAGGCCUUCGGGUUGUAAAGCACUUUUGUCCGGAAAGAAAUCGCUUCGGUUAAUACCUGGGGUGGAUGACGGUACCGGAAGAAUAAGCACCGGCUAACUACGUGCCAGCAGCCGCGGU